This 124-nucleotide small RNA is filed under the name Salmonella enterica. RNAcentral's name for it is "partial RtT sRNA". It matches the Rfam family "RtT RNA". Rfam says of the family: This family represents a bacterial cis-regulatory element known as RtT RNA. The exact function of RtT is unknown although it is thought that it may be involved in changing the cellular response in relation to amino acid starvation. The record is from RNAcentral. Lineage: Bacteria; Pseudomonadati; Pseudomonadota; Gammaproteobacteria; Enterobacterales; Enterobacteriaceae. RNAcentral also lists the same sequence under 1 other name.
UCUGUACGGGAAGGAUGAGAAGCUUCGACUAAGGUUCGAUUCGAGCGCAGCGAGAAAGCGUUGCCGUAGGCAACGACCCGAAGGGCGAAGCGCGCAGCGCUGAGUAAUCCUUCCCCCGUCAUCC